UUUGGACACUAGAUGAGGUAACCGCUUGAAUUUAAAAAUUGGAUACAAACAUUUACAGUGAUCUUCAACAUCACAAAUUCAAGCCAAGAAAGAAAAAGAAGAGACAAAUUAAGAUGGAGGACGAUGUUGUGGUUCUUUUAGAUGUUUGGGGAAGUACUUACGGAAUGAGAAUAAGAAUCGCUUUAGCAGAAAAAGGAAUCAAAUACGAGUGCAUAGAAGAAGAAAACAUUCUUGUAAAGAGCCCUUUGCUUUUAGAAAUGAAUCCGGUUUACAAAAGGGUUCCUGUUUUGAUACAUAACGGGAAACCUAUUUGUGAAUCACUCUUGAUUCUUGAAUAUAUUGAUCAAGUUUGGAAACACAAGUCUCCUGCUCUUUUACCAAGUGAUGCUUACCGGCGGGGGGUCGCUAGAUUCUGGGCCGCAUAUCUAGAUGCAAAGAUAUACGAAGGAACUGCGAAGAAGGUGUGGAUGAGUAGCGGAGAAGAACAAGAAAAAGUUAGUAAAGAGUUUAUAGAUUGCUUGAAGGUGAUAGAAAAAGAGCUUGGAGAAAAGCCUUAUUUCAGUGGUGAAGACGAGAUGGGGUUUGUAGAUGUGGCUUUGAUUCCCUUGUACUGUUAUUUUUAUCCUCUUGAGAUGUUUGGCAAGUUCAGUGUAGAAACUGAGUGUCCUAAGUUAAUGAAUUGGGCGAAAAAGUGUAUGAAGAAAGAAAAUGUGUUUGGGUCACUUGUUGAACCAGAAAAGAUAUAUGAAGCCAUGUUGGACUUCAGAAAGACCUUGCGACUAGCGUAGGCAUAAGAAGCGCUGCGUUUUCUUCAUCAAUGGUAAACCACAGGUUUUAUGUACCAAGAUUUUUAAUGCCAAAACAUCUUGGGUUUUGGUUACGACUUAUACACUGUGGUAAAUAAUUUUUUUCAUAGCCUUGGAACCCAAGAAAUAUAAGUCGGAACCAGAUUGGAGAGAGAGUUUUUAAAUCGGGCGAUCAACUCGGUCAAAAAAUUUUCGUUUCCCGUGAAUUCAAGUAAAUCUCAGGUGAAUCAAUUAAAAAGGAGCUACGAAGUUCUAAAAAGAUAUAAGAAUAUAAUUAUUCCAAGUAUCCAAGUUCCCAAGUCCAAAAGAAGUGGAAGAAGUGCGACAAAAAUGAACAAAACGCUCAAAAUCAAGAGACGGUCCAAAGACCGAGAUUAAAUCAUUCAAAUCAAGGAUUUAUCACCACCAUCUUGACGAUAAUUAAAGAUAAAAAUAAUGCAAAACGAAUGAGAUCAUUCCGAGUUCGGACGAGGAAGUUACGGCCAAAACGAGUUUUAUUAAAUACCGAAGACAAGCCAGUUUGCAAACGGGUAUGCAAACGGGGGUAACUGAAAAAUAAGUUUGUAAAAUGGUUUGCAAACUUAUUUCCAAGUAUUUUAUUACAAAGUUUAAGUUUUCAAACUGGUAUGCAAACUAUUGAAGGCCAAAAUUCCCGAACUAUCUUUAGGGUCUUUCUUUACUGCUUUUUAGGUCGGUUUCCAGAACCGACUAGGAUUCUUGAAGGCCAAGCAAUGUAAACCUAUA
RNA transcript from Papaver somniferum (opium poppy), 1550 nucleotides. It is a transcript of the gene named probable glutathione S-transferase parC, with no coding region annotated. Lineage: Eukaryota; Viridiplantae; Streptophyta; Magnoliopsida; Ranunculales; Papaveraceae. The transcript has 3 exons. The record is from RefSeq and is a predicted model, not a curated record.